UUUACUGGGGCUUUGCUUACAGUUCAUUAUCAGUGUCAGUUCAUUAUCAUCAUGGUGGAAACAAGGUAAGCAAGGUGCAGACAGCAGACAGAGAGACAGUGACUGGGCCUGGCAUGAGCUUUUGAAACCUCAAAGCCCACUCUAAGUGACAGGAUUAAGGCCACAGCUUUUAAUCCUUCUCAAACAGUUCCAUUAACUGGGGACCAAGCAUCCAAAUCUAUGAGCCUACAGGAGUCAGGCUCAUCCAGACCAGCACAGGCUAUGACGGUGGCAUCGGCAGACGGCUUCCAGAAACACUUGCUGACUGACUGUUGGGCUACACUACAACUGUAGUGCUCCCAUGAAUCUCAGCAGGGCAACCACACUCGCAGUGCAUGCGUUCUUUAUAUCUAGCAGAGCUCCCCUCUCAGAAGCAGGUUCUAAACGAUGGCUCAAAGGCCUUUCAGUUCCAGCAGCCAGACCAAACCCACAGCUUCUCUGUCAAGCAAUCUGACCUCUGUUAUAAUGAAAUUAAGGAGACAAAUCUACAUGAUUUCCAAGCAAAGGUGAUUUUCUUUUCUUUUUUCCUUCCUCCCUCCCUCCUUUCUUAGUGAAGAUUAAGUAUGCAACUUUUACUGGGCCAAGGAAAUACUGUGUGCAUCUCAUAGGAGCAACAAAUGUCACUACCAAGUAUGAUUUUAUGUUCUAAGUAUUUUCUAUCACAAAAGUAGACUUAAGUAAAUCUGUGGACACUCAGACGCACACGUGCGCACGCGAUCUCUGGGUUAACUCAUGCCCUAUGUCCUCAUUCCUCCAAGCACCCAUGCUCAGCAGACUCAAGCACAGGUCACAUAACAGCAGACGCAUUACGUCAUUAUGUGGGCGUUUCUAAGUCAGUAUUUACCGCCCCUCGCCACAGCUUUCAAACAGAGACCUUCUCAAUGAACAGAGGAAUGUGGCUUUGCACCUUCUGAUGUUUCUGCUCAGCUUCAUGUCAGAAGUGUACUUUUCCCUCCUCCUUCCUGAGAGCACAGGUGAGCUCCAGCCAUGCACUCGCAGAGCUUUGUGUGAGGACAUCGUAUCAGUGGCUUUUCCCCUCUCUUCAGUCAUGUAAGCCCUGACUAUCUUCUCCCCACCCACAAGAAGAUUCGACUAUCUCAAAGAGAACGUCAAAAGCCUGCCUGCUAUGUGCCAGACACACCUUCAGAGCUGAAGAUGCUGAGGUGUGGUCUCUGCACCUAAAGGACACACAUUAGUGAGUGUGUAAGCACCAAAAGCGAUUGGCCAGCUGAAUGCAGAAACACCAAGCACAGAUUUCCUGAUUUUCCCUCUCACCUCUCAGUGGUCCUGAGAAGUCCUCACGGAUCCCAUACCUACCUCUGUUUUAAAUCUACAGCAAAGUUCCUAGCAGGAAACCUACUAGGUGGGGCUGUAUCCACAUGCCUUAUCUCCACGCAGAGGCCUGCACAGAGCUGGGAAUGGCUGGACUCCGUUGUGGUGAUGCCUGUUCUGGGCCCCUUUCCUCAUUUCCUGAGGGCUUACUUCUCCACUAUUGUCCCUAGGUUCCGCAAACAAGAUGAUCAGUGUAAAGUAUUUAUUGUUUGCCUUUUCAAAUUAGUUAUUAUUUGUCAAUCAAAUUUCUAAAUUUCAGUUUUAAUAGAGCUACAUUUAAUCAAUAUGCUUACAUGUGAAAGAAAAGCAGACAUGGUUAUUAGAUGAAAUUUUCAGUGACAGGCACAAAACAUCUCCCUAUGAGUUACUGGCCAGCACAGUCCCAGAACCACCGGCAGCAGCCCAGGCCGUCAGCAUUCCUCUUGGUUGACCACCAUAAUUAGAUGGUGAGACCCUGUUGUUGAAGAUACUUCAAUACCAGGACACAAAGAAUCAACCUUGAUUAACCAGGAAAGUAUAUUUCUUUUAGAUAGCUUAUUUAGUGACAGAAGGCCCUGUGCAGGCUACUGGGGAGAGGAGGAAACAGGGUCUCACCCAGCAUUGGACUCUGAGGGCUACAACACUGGCCUGCCUGGCAAAAUACUGUUACAAUGGUGUCACGGCAGAUACCGGAGUAGCCAAUCACCUUCCUAUUAGCUAUGAUUCCUGCUGCACUGAUGGAUUUUAUACCUGUAUCUAUAAAUCUGGCCAAAAGCCCAUGACUACCAAAGUUACCAGCCCUAAGGGCAAACCCAUUGUUUUGGCUUUCUUGUUUUUUAUUUUUGCUAAAUGAUCACGUUGUAAAUCCCCUUUUAAAUUCUAUACCACAGAUCUGUGUUGCUCUUAACUUUGGUCAGAGACAACACUUUUAUAGCCAAAAUCCCAAUACAGAUGCAGGAAGGGUCCCAAGGUCCUACCCUCAGCAGCUGAUGGCGGCUGAAGGAGAGAGAUGCACCAUCCUUUGGGGAUAUGGCUGCUGGUAGGUUGUCCCCUCACCACACCCAAGGAUGACCCUACAUAUCUGUAAAUCUAAGCAACACUGACUGCGCCAGGAGGUAAUUCAUAACAGCAGCUUUUCAGAAAGACUCCAAGAUGGAGAGGAGGUGAGAGUAGGCACCAGAGGGAAAGAGGGGGGUGAUAGCGGUGGGCGGAUGGAUGUGGGUGGAUGUGAUCAAGUACAUCGUGCCAAGGCAUGACACUGUCAACUGCUUUUAACAACAGAAAGCAAAUCCUCUAGUAGCUGGUUAGACACUAAUUGAUAUCACCUUAUCACCAAGUAUAUGCUUAUCCUAAUAACAACAAAGUCAGUGGUAACUGAGUCUUGUCCUCUGAUCUAGAGUUUGAUGAGUGGCACCAAGGCACUUCUUACCAGGCUCUGGGAGAUCUAACUUUGCCCGCUUUAGUUCUGCCAUAGAAACUUGAAGUUGCUCUAUUACAAAAUCAUCCUCGAAGAAAAAAUCCUUGGCGAGAGUCUCCUGAAGAAAUUCUACAAGUUCUUCCAUAGACAACUUCAUCAGAUGCUCUGAGAAAGGAGGAGAGAAACGUAAAUGCCGGUCAACAGUGCUACUUAGGCUGAAGAGAGAUAGACUGUAGUUGAGUAUAGUGUGUUUUUAAAAAGGGUACUAAAGAGGACACACACACACACCUUACAUUUCACAUUGUGGACAUCAUUAAAACUCAGUAGGAUAAUAUUUUGACCUUAGAAAAACCAGUAGGAGAAGAAAGGUGUACAUGACCAAGUAUUUUCUCACUGGUUUAAGAGUAACCAUGCCUUGGUAUUAACAGUAAUCUACAGCAAGAGCUCCUAGGAGUCAAUAAACAUUUAUUUAUCUCAUAGACUAUCUAGAACUCUAUCUCAGACUGACAAGCCUUUUUUAACUCCACACUUAGUAUUAGAAACUUUCCCUCAAAACCAGAUUAUUAACCUUAUUAUUACUACUGAGGAAAUUAAUUUUAUUAGGAAAAAAAAAUCAAACUACAGACAGAGAGGAGAAAGUAGACACCCACUACCUUAGCUAGCAGUCCCAUACCUUACAAGGAGAAGCGUUAUGUUCAUGGCUGUCCAUGGGCAUCAACUCACAAUACAAGUGCACAGUCUGGGCUCACCUUCCCUCUUCUAUUGAAAAGCAAACGCACAUUCUUUCUCAGCUAUUAUUAACAGAGGCGUAACUGAGCAGCAUUAGUGCUUGUUUAGUCCAAUCACGUGCAUUUACAUUUGUUUCCAGUUUUCCCAUUUAGAACCAUUGUGUGAUGAAUCUCCAGUAAUACUAGCUUUAAAGCAAUCAGGAAGAAAUAAAGACAGAAAAAAGUCUUUGGCUAUAUUCAGCUGUUAAGCACCCAGAGAGUGUUUUGUUUUGUUUUGUUUUGUUUUUUCCUUUUUCCUUUUCUGUAUUGUUAUCUAUUUUUUUUUAAUCAGCAAAUGACGUAGUAUGAAACCUUAUGGCAAACUACAGUGUUUUAAUACAGGUUCCCCACUGUGGAAUGACUACUUCAGUGUGACUAUUAGAUCUACCACCAAGCAUA
Mus musculus (house mouse) is the source of this 3933-nucleotide long non-coding RNA. RefSeq annotates it as predicted gene 13388. The record is from RefSeq and is a predicted model, not a curated record. NCBI's taxonomy places the organism in Eukaryota, Metazoa, Chordata, Mammalia, Rodentia, Muridae. The transcript has 4 exons.